UUAAAGGGUUAAAUCUCUGGAGCAAGGGAGCAUCCUAUAGCUCUCCUAUAACUGUUCUGAGACCAGUGCAGACAGACAGCACACUGGAGGUUAAGUCGUUCACUAAAUAGGGAGCAAGGGAGCAUCCUAUAGCUCUCCUAUAACUGUUCUGAGACCAGUGCAGACAGACAGCACACUGGAGGUCAAGUCAUGCACUAAAUAGGGAGCAAGGGAGCAUCCUAUAGCUCUCCUAUAACUGUUCUGAGACCAGUGCAGACAGACAGCACACUGGAGGUCAAGUCAUGCACUAAAUAGGGAGCAAGGGAGCAUCCUAUAGCUCUCCUAUAACUGUUCUGAGACCAGUGCAG
Long non-coding RNA from Xyrauchen texanus (razorback sucker), 347 nucleotides. RefSeq lists it as uncharacterized. The record is from RefSeq and is a predicted model, not a curated record. The transcript is spliced from 3 exons. Lineage: Eukaryota; Metazoa; Chordata; Actinopteri; Cypriniformes; Catostomidae.